This 491-nucleotide ribosomal RNA is filed under the name uncultured bacterium. RNAcentral describes it as "partial 16S ribosomal RNA". It matches the Rfam family "Bacterial small subunit ribosomal RNA", at positions 30 to 506 of the family's 1533-position model. The record is from RNAcentral.
AUUGAACGCUGGCGGCAUGCUUUACACAUGCAAGUCGAACGGUAACAGGCCUUCGGGUGCUGACGAGUGGCGAACGGGUGAGUAAUGCAUCGGAACGUGCCCAGAGGUGGGGGAUAACGCAGCGAAAGCUGUGCUAAUACCGCAUGUGAUCUGAGGAUGAAAGCGGGGGACCAAGCAGCAAUGUUUGGCCUCGCGCCUCUGGAGCGGCCGAUGUCAGAUUAGGUAGUUGGUGGGGUAAAGGCCUACCAAGCCGACGAUCUGUAGCUGGUCUGAGAGGACGACCAGCCACACUGGGACUGAGACACGGCCCAGACUCCUACGGGAGGCAGCAGUGGGGAAUUUUGGACAAUGGGCGCAAGCCUGAUCCAGCAAUGCCGCGUGCGGGAAGAAGGCCUUCGGGUUGUAAACCGCUUUUGUACGGAACGAAAAGGCUCUGGCUAAUACCUGGGGCUGAUGACGGUACCGUAAGAAUAAGCACAGGCUAACUACGU